Molecule: long non-coding RNA, 303 nt
Filed under: Bos taurus (domestic cattle)
Lineage: Eukaryota; Metazoa; Chordata; Mammalia; Artiodactyla; Bovidae
Description: long non-coding RNA NONBTAT019727
Source: RNAcentral
GUUUAUAAGUGAGGCCAUCAAUAACUAACAAUUCAAAGAAAUUGAAAGUGUACUUAAAGGUGAGCCUGUGGUUUACAUUUAUAAUCUUUUAUAAUUGAAAAAAAAAGGCAUUAGGCUUUUAAAGGUAAUAUAUGACUUAACAGUUUUUCAAGUGAUUUUCAUAAUGGGUUUCUAGACACCGUCAUAUAUGGAUGUGAAAAAAAAAAAGACACGGAUUUAGGCAAGCAAAGUAUUAGUCCAUAGCAGCUUGGUGAGGGUUACUUUUCUUACAUAAAGAGUCUUCAAAUUUACAUUUAUUCUUAU